AAGGUAGCGAAAUUCCUUGUCGGGUAAGUUCCGACCUGCACGAAUGGCGUAACGAUGGCCACACUGUCUCCACCCGAGACUCAGUGAAAUUGAAUUUGCGGUCAAGAUGCCGUAUACCCGCGGCUAGACGGAAAGACCCCGUGAACCUUUACUACAGCUUUACACUGGACUUUGAUCUUAUCUGUGUAGGAUAGGUGGGAGACUUUGAAGCGUUGACGCUAGUCAUCGUGGAGUCGACCUUGAAAUACCACCCUGAUGAUAUUGAGGUUCUAACUUAGGUCCGUUAUCCGGAUUGAGGACAGUGUAUGGUGGGUAGUUUGACUGGGGCGGUCUCCUCCCAAAGAGUAACGGAGGAGCGCGAAGGUACCCUAAUCCUGGUCGGAAAUCAGGAGGUUAGUGCAAUAGCAUAAGGGUGCUUGACUGCGAGACAGACACGUCGAGCAGGUACGAAAGUAGGUUAUAGUGAUCCGGUGGUUCUGUAUGGAAGGGCCAUCGCUCAACGGAUAAAAGGUACUCCGGGGAUAACAGGCUGAUACCGCCCAAGAGUUCACAUCGACGGCGGUGUUUGGCACCUCGAUGUCGGCUCAUCACAUCCUGGGGCUGAAGCCGGUCCCAAGGGUAUGGCUGUUCGCCAUUUAAAGUGGUACGCGAGCUGGGUUUAGAACGUCGUGAGACAGUUCGGUCCCUAUCUGCCGUGGGCGUUGGAGAAUUGAGGGAAGCUGCUCCUAGUACGAGAGGACCGGAGUGGACGAACCCCUGGUGUUCGGGUUGUCACGCCAGUGGCAUUGCCCGGUAGCUACGUUCGGACAGGAUAACCGCUGAAAGCAUCUAAGCGGGAAGCCCCUCCCAAGACUAGUUCUCCCUGGGAAUUUAAUUCCCCUGAAGGGCCGUAGAAGACUACUACGUUGAUAGGCUGGGUGUGUAAGCGCUGUGAGGCGUUGAGCUAACCAGUACUAAUUGCCCGUGAGGCUUGACCAU
RNAcentral lists this ribosomal RNA (978 nucleotides) under seawater metagenome. RNAcentral's name for it is "bacterial LSU rRNA". It matches the Rfam family "Bacterial large subunit ribosomal RNA", at positions 1953 to 2925 of the family's 2925-position model. The record is from RNAcentral.